CCUACGGGACGCAGCAGUAGGGAAUUUUCGUCAAUGGGCGCAAGCCUGAACGAGCAAUGCCGCGUGAACGAGGAAGGUCUUCGGAUCGUAAAGUUCUGUUGAAGGGGAAAAAGAGCGGAGAGAGGAAAUGGUCUCCGAUUGAUAUUACCCUUCGAGGAAGUCACGGCUAACUACGUGCCAGCAGCCGCGGUAAUACGUAGGUGGCGAGCGUUAUCCGGAAUGAUUGGGCGUAAAGGGAGCGUAGACGGAUAAGCAAGUCUGAUGUGAAAAUCCGGGGCCCAACCCCGGAAUUGCAUUGGAAACUG
RNAcentral lists this ribosomal RNA (305 nucleotides) under uncultured bacterium. Its description in RNAcentral is "bacterial SSU rRNA". It matches the Rfam family "Bacterial small subunit ribosomal RNA", at positions 338 to 635 of the family's 1533-position model. The record is from RNAcentral.